CCCCUAGAUGUUCUGGGCCGCACGCGCGCUACACUGAACAGUUCAACAAGUCUUAACCUUGGCCGAUAGGUCUGGGUAAUCUUUGAACGCUGUUCGUGAUUGGGAUAGACCUUUGCAAUUAUGGGUCUUCAACGAGGAAUUCCUAGUAAACGCAAGUCAUCAGCUUGCAUUGAUUACGUCCCUGCCCUUUGUACACACCGCCCGUCGCACCUACCGAUUGAAUAAUCCGGUGAAAUCUCGGGACGGCGGCUUGGUCGCUUGCGUCCGACUGCUGAAACUUGAUUAAACCAUAUCAUUUAGAGGAAGGUGAAGUCGUANCA
This 320-nucleotide ribosomal RNA is filed under the name uncultured eukaryote. Its description in RNAcentral is "partial 18S ribosomal RNA". It matches the Rfam family "Eukaryotic small subunit ribosomal RNA", at positions 1470 to 1796 of the family's 1831-position model. The record is from RNAcentral.